Molecule: ribosomal RNA, 544 nt
Filed under: uncultured Glomeromycotina
Lineage: Eukaryota; Fungi; Glomeromycota
Description: SSU rRNA
Rfam family: Eukaryotic small subunit ribosomal RNA
Source: RNAcentral
UUGGAGGGCAAGUCUGGUGCCAGCAGCCGCGGUAAUUCCAGCUCCAAUAGCGUAUAUUAAAGUUGUUGCAGUUAAAAAGCUCGUAGUUGAAUUUCGGGGUUCUACCGUUGGUCGGGCUAUUGUCUGUACUGGCGUGUAGAAUUUCUACCUUCUGGGGAACUAUCAUGUUAUUAAUUUAGCGUGGUAGGAAACCAGGACCUUUACCUUGAAAAAAUUAGAGUGUUCAAAGCAGGCUUAUGUCUGAAUACAUUAGCAUGGAAUAAUAAAAUAGGACGGUGGUCCUGUUUUGUUGGUUUCUGAAUCACCGUAAUGAUUAAUAGGGAUAGUUGGGGGCAUUAGUAUUCAAUUGUCAGAGGUGAAAUUCUUGGAUUUAUUGAAGACUAACUACUGCGAAAGCAUUUGCCAAGGAUGUUUUCAUUAAUCAAGGACGAAAGUUAGGGGAUCGAAGACGAUCAGAUACCGUCGUAGUCUUAACCAUAAACUAUGCCGACUAGGGAUCGGACGAUGUUAACUUUUCUUGACUCGUUCGGCGCCUUACGGGAAA